GCGAGGUGGCAGCCAUCUUGCGUACGGCGGUGCAGUUUCUCAGAUGCCGAGGGUUUGGGUUUUAGUUCCUCUGUGCUUUGGGGUGGUGUUUGUGCGUUGCUUUCACCUUUUCAGAUGUUCGUGUCUUUCUAGACCACGAUUUUAUUGGGAAGUAGAAGUGAAUGCAGUGUAAGAUGCCUUAUGGUGAAACUGAAGCGAAAUCCUUGGAUCUUCGUGAAGAACUGACAGGUGAACCAUGCUAUAAAAAAUUGAAGUCAGCUGAAGAGGCUUAUGUUUUUUCUCAUCUUGGUACUGCUGAUUUUCACAGAAUCCAAGAGAAAGCUGGGAAUGAUUGGGUCCCUGUGACCAUUGUUGAUGUCAAGGAACAUAGUUAUCUUCAGGAGGACAAAACCAAAAUUACAAACUCGGUGAAACCUGUGCAUGAUGAGAUGUCUGGCAAUAAUAGAUCAGAUGUUAUUGAAUCCAUUGAUACACAGAUUUUACAGGAUGCCAGUCCUGCAUUGGUAUCCAAAGAUGAUGAGAUAUAUAGCACAAGUAAAGCAUUUAUAGGACCCAUUUACAAUCCCCCUGAGAAGAAGAAAUAUAAUGAAAGGAGAAAUCACUCAGAAGUAGCCAGUGGUAUAGAUGGCAAAGGAGGACGAGAACAGAAACAGAAAUUCAACUCCAAAAAAUCAAAACUUGACAACGAAUUAUUCCAGUUUUACAAGGAAAUUGAAGAGCUUGAAAAUGAAAAAGAUGAUCUAGAAGGCAAUUGUGAAGAACCUGAGCACUCUGAAGAAAAACUUACUGUGUAUUAUCAGGACCAUAAUAAUGAGCUGUUAAAAUCUGAAGAAGUAAAGGAAAGAGAUAUUAGUAAUGUUCUUCAGUCGCAUUGUAGUUACCAACAGCGCAGGGAGAACGAGCCAGGCAAAUAUCCUUGUAAUGGACAAGUAAUACCUGCAUUUUGUGAUGAUUCCUUAACUUCCUUCAGGCCUGAAUGGCAAUCAGUGCAUUCUUUUAUAGUACCCCAAGGUCCUCCUUCUCCCAGUUUUAACUAUCAUUUAAAUAUGCAAAGAUUCAGUGCUCCACCAAAUCCAUCAUCAAAUAUUUUCCAUGUUCCAGAUGGGUCUCAGCAUCAAAAUGGGUAUUAUGUAAAUAGUUGUCACAUUAACUGGGAUUGUUUGACUUUUGAUCAGAACAAUGACUAUAUUGACUAUAGUGAGAAUACCGGUAGAGAUCAUUCCUUUUUUAAUGGCUACAGUGUGCAAGAUGGAUAUGUGAGUAAUGGUUUCUGUGAAACCAGGGAAGGAUGCUGGGAAGAUCCUUCUAUGGACAAGCAUAAUGGAAUAGACAGGCUUAAGAACCAGCAGUUUCAAGAGGAAAAGUUAAAUAAAUUGCAGAAGUUACUUAUUCUUUUAAGAGGUUUGCCUGGUUCUGGGAAAACAACGUUGUCUCGAAUUCUGCUUGGUCAGAGUCGUGAUGGCAUUGUGUUCAGCACUGAUGACUAUUUUCACCAUCAAGAUGGGUACAGGUAUAAUGUUAAUCAACUUGGUGAUGCCCAUGACUGGAACCAGAACAGAGCAAAACAAGCUAUCAAUCAGGGGAGAUCUCCAGUUAUAAUAGACAACACUAAUACACAAGCUUGGGAAAUGAAACCCUAUGUGGAAAUGGCCAUAGGAAAAGGAUACAGAGUAGAGUUUCAUGAACCUGAAACUUGGUGGAAAUUUGAUCCUGAAGAAUUAGAAAAGAGGAAUAAACAUGGUGUAUCUCGAAAGAAGAUUGCUCAGAUGUUGGAUCGUUAUGAAUACGAAAUGUCCAUCUCUAUUGUAAUGAAUUCAGUGGAACCACCACACAAAAGCACACAAAGACCUCCUCCUUCACAGGGGACACAGAGAGAAAGAGAUUUGAAGAAAACUGGGCACAGGCUCAGCAAAACCAAACAGAAGAGAAGCAGAAAAAGAAAUAAAAAGCAGAACAAUCAUAGUAAAAUCAUGGAGGAAAACUCACUUGAAACCGUAAGUUACCAUACGGUAGGAGAUCAGGACCCAUCUCAGAGUGAAGAGGAAGACAUCGAAGACACCAAAAGAGAAUCAGUGUGCACUUUCACUGGUGCACUGGGAAAUAAACGAGGAGAAUUAGUGAACAGCCACAAAGAUGAAGUAUGGAAAAGCAUAAAUCCUGAAGAUAGUUUUCCAAAUGUUGUAUCUGCAGUUGAGCUGGACAAUACAUUAAAAAAUGAUCUCCCUAGAGAAAACAAUGAUUUGUUUCUAAAUGUGUCACUGAUGCCAAAUGAAAACUCUGUGACUUGCCUGACAAUGACUCAGAAUCUUUCCUGCGUAAAAAGUGAUGACUGCUCUGGCACAAAGGUAGGAAAGCAUCCUGGAAAUAGGCAUCUCACGGCAUCAGACAUCCAGAGCGGAUCUGCUGACAUCCCCAGCUCAUUUAUGCAAAAGAGAGAGAAGGUAGAUAAAAGACUCCAAAAUGAAACAAUCCUGUGCCAUCAGUAUGCGUCCAGAACCUCAGAUAAAGGUUUAAGAACGGAACAAGGAGUAAGUGCAACUAAAAGCAGUUUUUGGGCUCUUUUUCCAAACAAUCUAUCUGAUGAAGAAUUACAGCCAGGCUCUGAGAGACAAUCCUGUUUGGGGAGCUGGCCUGAGGGACCUCAUAAGUUUAUAUGUGAACAAAGACCAAAGAAAGAUAGAUGGCAAAAAUUCACCUCUCCAGACAGCAGGGGACAAUUGAUUACAUUGAUCUCCACUUCCGAAGAAACUUCAGUACCAGGAAGCAGUCCAGAAACACUGGUAGAGGAGAAGCUUUUGAUAGAAAAUGAAGAUUUGUCACCUUCAACUGAGAAUACAAAUUCAAUCAUAGAAACAGAAACAAGUAUCUUUAGAAGCUGCUUGCCUAACCUGGAUAUCCCAAAGAGUGACUUACACUCAACAAAGAAUAAGAAAAGGAGAGAGAAACGGCUUUUCAAUUUGGCACCAAACUUUAACUUACUGGCACAGAGCUAUAUCGAUGUAAAAGAAAGAGGUGAAUGUGGCUUGUUAACAGAAAGCCAUGGACUAAAAAUUAUUUUGGAAGAAGAAAAAGACAGAAUUUCAGAAAUAUGUAAUGAAGAGGAGACCACACAAAAACUCACGACCUUUAAUCAUCACCCAUCAUGGUUUUACUUUGAUAUUAUCGAAGAUCCUCCUCUCAAUGUUGGUAGACGAUCUUAUUCUCAUUACCUGCCAUUUAAUAGAUACUCUGUAUAUUUUUACAAAAACCCUAUUCCUUCUCUUGUGCUACAAUAUACAUCUAGCUUUCGGAUGGCAUCCUUUACAAGCAAGAAAUCAUUUUUGACUUCCAAAUCUCAAACAAGAGUAGAUAACCAACCACGUGACAUGGGGUUUGUUUCUUCAGGAGUUUUAAGUAGCCAGCCUGAUCCUUUGUACUCUUUUAGGGUCACUUCUGAUCUUCACUUUGUAAAUGAAAGUUUUGAUGAGAAGCUGGAGACAUGGGAAGAACCUAAGCCGUUACAGUUCUUGCAAACUGAAGAUAACCAAGAUUUUACAAACCCCGGCGUUGAGUUCCUUGAGCUGCAAUUAUCACAAGGGUUUGCCUUUCAACUAGUAAAGCUUUUUGGAUCGCCUGGAGUUCCAAUGGAAUCUUUGUUGCCUGAUGACUGUGUGGUUUCCCUUGACUGGAAGACACUGAAGAUGAUCUAUUUACAAUGGAAGACAUCAGUUGAGUUGAAUUCUUCAGUCUUCCUGGUGCUGUUGAAGAUCCUACCCACCAAGAAAGAGCGCUCAGUGCCCACCCAAAGGAUUAUUUUCAGCGAUAUACUCGUGGGAUACCAAAAUUGGCUUGGAUAAUCUGUCCAACUGUUCUUGAUUAGUUAUCUGAAAAAUAAAAAACUCAACAAAAGAGGAUUUUAAUUCCUGGUUGACAUUUGGCUAACCAGAAGACUCCGGAUGAGAGACCAGCUUAUUAAAGAACAUCUCUCUAGGGACGACUGGCGUGAGCACUGGCCUGGGAGUCUGAAGAUUGGGCCUUUAGAUCCUCUUCAUCAUGAAAGCUGGUGAAUUUCGGCAAUCACCUAGCUUCUCUGGGACUUCUUUUCCUUACAUGUGACUACUAAGAAGGGAUUAGAUUAGGUGAUUUAUUGAAGAUCCUUCUGGCUCUUAAUUUCUAGUUGUCAGUCUGAAGAAUGGUUAGUUAACAAUGGCUAGGCAACAAGCUCUGACCUUGGAGUCAAUUUAUGGCUUCAAAUCCAAGCUCUGCCAUUCACUAUCUAUGACCUUUACUCAGCUCCUCUGCACCUUGGUUUCCUUUUCUGAUAUACAGGGAUAUCUGCUUUGUCCAUUUCAGAAGACUUGCAGAUGUUAAAAUGUGAGAGAACUUGCUACACUUUAAAGUGCUGUAUACAUCUUAUAAGGUGUUAGUUGCCGCUUCAGAUGUUGAUCAGCUGAGAUAAAUCUUCAAGGUGUUACCGGGGAGAAACCUGGCUCUGAAAUGCAGCAGGAGGCUGGAAGUUGACUUUGUUGUUCUCCGGUUCUCCGGUUCGGAGUUCUGGAGGCAGAGGAUCAUUGGCCCUGCUGUGGGAGGGGAGAGGGGUGACUUUUGCUUUUGUGUAGCAAUCUGGGAAGUAAGAAGGCAAACAGGCCACAGCUCAGCAAGGAGGAAGCCUUCGGUGAGGAUGAAAUGGUGUGGCGGACCUCAAGGACCUACCUUCCCCUCCUUUCUGGUGGGUCCGGUGGGGGAGAGAAGGAGAACGGCAAAUUGUUUAAAAAAUGUGCAUGUGGAGAAAGUAGUGAAACUGUAAGGCUAUCUCUUGUAUUGUUGGAUUCUGGGAAAUUCAUAUUUUCUUUAUUCUCUGUAUUUUCCAAAUUUUCUAAUAUGUAAUUUUUUAAAUCAGAAAAAUAAAAACAAGUUUUUAAAAA
This is an RNA transcript of Lutra lutra (Eurasian river otter), 4904 nucleotides long. It is a transcript of the gene named NEDD4 binding protein 2 like 2, with no coding region annotated. The transcript is spliced from 10 exons. Lineage: Eukaryota; Metazoa; Chordata; Mammalia; Carnivora; Mustelidae. The record is from RefSeq and is a predicted model, not a curated record.